RNAcentral lists this ribosomal RNA (495 nucleotides) under uncultured bacterium. RNAcentral's name for it is "partial 16S ribosomal RNA". It matches the Rfam family "Bacterial small subunit ribosomal RNA", at positions 28 to 507 of the family's 1533-position model. The record is from RNAcentral.
GACGAACGCUGGCGGCGUGCCUAAUACAUGCAAGUAGAACGCUGAAGGAGGAGCUUGCUCUUCUGGAUGAGUUGCGAACGGGUGAGUAACGCGUAGGUAACCUGCCUGGUAGCGGGGGAUAACUCUUGGAAACGAUAGCUAAUACCGCAUAAGAGUAGAUGUUGCAUGACAUUUGCUUAAAAGGUGCAAUUGCAUCACUACCAGAUGGACCUGCGUUGUAUUAGGUAGUUGGUGGGGUAACGGCUCAACAAGGCGACGAUACAUAGCCGACCUGGGAGGGUGAGCGGCCAAACUGGGAACGAGACACGGCCCAGACUCCUACGGGAGGCAGCAGGAGGGAAUCUUCGGCAAUGGACGGAAGUCUGACCGGGCAACGCCGCGGGAGGGAAGAAGGGUUUCGGAUCGUAAAGCUCCGUUGUAAGAGAAGAACGAGUGUGAGAGUGGAAAGUGCACACUGUGACGGUAUCUUACCAGAAAGGGACGGCUAACUACGUG